UGUGAUUCCAACAGCUACCAAUGUGUC
RNAcentral lists this non-coding RNA (27 nucleotides) under Rattus norvegicus (Norway rat). The record is from RNAcentral. Lineage: Eukaryota; Metazoa; Chordata; Mammalia; Rodentia; Muridae.